UGUCUUAUGUGGCGUAUACUUUAU
RNAcentral lists this non-coding RNA (24 nucleotides) under Arabidopsis thaliana (thale cress). The record is from RNAcentral. Lineage: Eukaryota; Viridiplantae; Streptophyta; Magnoliopsida; Brassicales; Brassicaceae.